Myripristis murdjan (pinecone soldierfish) is the source of this 141-nucleotide small nuclear RNA. Its record names the gene U1. It matches the Rfam family "U1 spliceosomal RNA". From Rfam's summary of the family: U1 is a small nuclear RNA (snRNA) component of the spliceosome (involved in pre-mRNA splicing). Its 5' end forms complementary base pairs with the 5' splice junction, thus defining the 5' donor site of an intron. There are significant differences in sequence and secondary structure between metazoan and yeast U1 snRNAs, the latter being much longer (568 nucleotides as compared to 164 nucleotides in human). NCBI's taxonomy places the organism in Eukaryota, Metazoa, Chordata, Actinopteri, Holocentriformes, Holocentridae. The record is from Ensembl.
AAAUUGAAAUUGAAUUGGUUCACCCAGGGCGAGGCUCAGCCAUUGCACUCCGGCUGUGCUGACCCCUGCGAAUUCCCCAAAUGUGGGAAUCUCGACUGCAUAAUUUAUGGUAGUGGGGGACUGCGUCCGCGCUCUCCCCUG